GGCCUCUUGGUGUAGUGGUUAGCACGUCCAGCCCUCAAAUUCCUUGAUGUCUAUCAUCAGGAGAAACGGUUGAGAGACGCGGGUUCGACUCCCGCAGAGGCUA
Non-coding RNA from Rhexocercosporidium sp. MPI-PUGE-AT-0058, 103 nucleotides. Lineage: Eukaryota; Fungi; Ascomycota; Leotiomycetes; Helotiales. The record is from the annotation of a GenBank genome assembly.